GAGAGUAAACAGUGCGUGAAACCGCUCAGAGGUAAACGGGUGGAGUUGAACUGCGAUCCUUGGGAAUUCAGCUGAUGAGCAUGAUUUGUGCUUGGGCAUAUUGACCGCCUUUCAGUGUCUGCUUAGCUGCGGGUGCCUGCCUCUGGUGGGUAUGUGUGGUGCGCUUAUCAUGUGCCGCACGCAUUGGAGGGUGUAUGAGUCUGCUUGUCGGUGCACUUUCUCAGGGUGUUCACCACGACCGGCACUGCUGUCUGUCUGCUUUGGUCAAACUGAUCAGGUCUGAUUAACGUUGGGCUUGGUUGGGUUGGCAGGUGACUCACUGGUCCAUUCUGUGGGCUAUGAGUGUUACUAGCCGGCCUUAGUGGAUCUGUACGGUGUGUCGGAGACGGCGGCUUUGCAUAUGCGCUCUGUUCUUCAGGCGUGGUUGAGUCUGGUCGACUUGUUGCUAGUUUCGGCUGGUCAGUUGAUGGCUUGAUCAUGUUCAGUUGGCAGUGGUGUGUGUGUCUUAGUUUGGGCCAAUAGUCUGUGGUGUUGUGGUAGACUAUCCACCUG
RNAcentral lists this ribosomal RNA (552 nucleotides) under Trichobilharzia franki. Its description in RNAcentral is "partial 28S ribosomal RNA". Lineage: Eukaryota; Metazoa; Platyhelminthes; Trematoda; Strigeidida; Schistosomatidae. The record is from RNAcentral.